GCAUUUUAAAAUGAUAUCUGAUUCCCACUGAUAUAAUUCCCCUCCUUCAAGUUCAGAAACAUUCUACCCAUUUAUAUUUCAUGGCAGUAUAAUUGUUUGCUUAGGUUCAGUAAAAAUCUGUCUUCUUUUGUGCCAGGAUAUAAGUGGAAGAAUCAAUUAUGCAAUCAAGGCCUUGCCUGGAAUGUCUUAUUUGAGACUGAUGUUCACUUAACUAAUGUGACAAGCCAUUUUAAGGAACAAAAUUUAGAUGUACUUAUGAAAUCAAUGUCUACAAAGUCCUCUCUAGAAAAUUGAUCCUGGGGCCAAUUUAUAGGGUCCAGGCUUAUCACUUCCAUGCAAGUUCUUGGGGCAAUGAUUUUUAACCUGGUACUGAGAUUAAAUUCAGGGCCUCACACAUGCAGGGUAUGUGCUUUACCACUGAGCUACAUCCCAGUCACCUUGGGGUAACUUUUUAAGCCUCAAGAAGAAAAUAAUUCACCCAAUGUACAGGUACAGGUGGAGUUUUUUGGGCUUGGUUUCUUAGUCUCAGUAAAUAGCAAGUGAUAAGUGCUUUUAAAAGUCUCAUUUAGGAUUCCUUAUGGUAACUUCUAGACAGAAGCUAAUUUGGAAUUGUUUGAGUACAUAUGGUUCUAAAUUUUACAAAACAAACUGAAAGAGGCCUCCAUGGUAAAUAAUACUCUGAAGAAAUUAUGAAAGUAAUCAGCCAAACAUAAAGAGACCAGCCUUUUUUUUUUAAAAUCAAGAAUAACCUUUCUUUGAAAUUAUAUAUAAUCAAUCACAAUGAAAAUGAAACUGGUCAGAAAAAACUGUCAUACUUUGAAGUGGGCAAAUGAGAUUACUGAGUGUCCUUUCAAUAGAAUGCUGAGCCCUGUCCAGUGAAUCCC
RNAcentral lists this long non-coding RNA (884 nucleotides) under Marmota monax (woodchuck). The record is from RNAcentral. Lineage: Eukaryota; Metazoa; Chordata; Mammalia; Rodentia; Sciuridae.